UACGUAGGGACCUAGCGUUGUCCGGAAUCAUUGGGCGUAAAGCGCGCGUAGGCGACCCGGUAAGUCCGUUGUAAAAGUCGAAGGCUCAACCUUCGAAAGCCGAUGGAUACUGCCGGGCUAGAGUACGGAAGAGGCGAGUAGAAUUCCUGGUGUAGCGGUGGAAUGCGCAGAUAUCAGGGGGAAUACCCAUAGCGAAGGCAGCUCGCUGGGACGUUACUGACGCUGAGGCGCGAAAGCGUGGGGAGCGAACAGG
This 253-nucleotide ribosomal RNA is filed under the name uncultured bacterium. RNAcentral's name for it is "partial 16S ribosomal RNA". It matches the Rfam family "Bacterial small subunit ribosomal RNA", at positions 524 to 776 of the family's 1533-position model. The record is from RNAcentral.